RNAcentral lists this ribosomal RNA (404 nucleotides) under Actinomycetes bacterium. RNAcentral describes it as "Actinobacteria bacterium partial 16S ribosomal RNA". It matches the Rfam family "Bacterial small subunit ribosomal RNA", at positions 355 to 776 of the family's 1533-position model. The record is from RNAcentral. Lineage: Bacteria; Bacillati; Actinomycetota; Actinomycetes.
UGGGGAAUAUUGGACAAUGGGCGCAAGCCUGAUCCAGCCAUGCCGCGUGAGUGAUGAAGGCCCUAGGGUUGUAAAGCUCUUUCACCGGUGAAGAUAAUGACGGUAACCGGAGAAGAAGCCCCGGCUAACUUCGUGCCAGCAGCCGCGGUAAUACGAAGGGGGCUAGCGUUGUUCGGAGUUACUGGGCGUAAAGCGCACGUAGGCGGACUUUUAAGUCAGGGGUGAAAUCCCGGGGCUCAACCCCGGAACUGCCUUUGAUACUGGAAGUCUUGAGUAUGGUAGAGGUGAGUGGAAUUCCGGGUGUAGAGGUGAAAUUCGUAGAUAUUCGGAGGAACACCAGUGGCGAAGGCGGCUCACUGGACCAUUACUGACGCUGAGGUGCGAAAGCGUGGGGAGCAAACAGG